Molecule: ribosomal RNA, 253 nt
Filed under: uncultured bacterium
Lineage: Bacteria
Description: partial 16S ribosomal RNA
Rfam family: Bacterial small subunit ribosomal RNA
Source: RNAcentral
UACGGAGGGUGCGAGCGUUGUCCGGAAUCACUGGGCGUAAAGGGCGCGUAGGCGGCGCGGGCAGUCAACGGUGAAAGCUUGGGGCUCAACCCCGAGUCGGCCGUCGAUACUCCCGUGCUUGAGCACUGUAGAGGCAGGUGGAAUUCCGGGUGUAGCGGUGGAAUGCGUAGAUAUCUGGAGGAACACCGAUGGCGAAGGCAAUCCCCUGGGCCUGCACUGACGCUCAUGCACGAAAGCGUGGGGAGCAAACAGG